RNAcentral lists this transfer RNA (73 nucleotides) under Candidatus Pacearchaeota archaeon. RNAcentral describes it as "tRNA-Asp". It matches the Rfam family "tRNA". Rfam says of the family: Transfer RNA (tRNA) molecules are approximately 80 nucleotides in length. The record is from RNAcentral. Lineage: Archaea; Nanobdellati.
GCCCUGAUAGUGUAGUGGCUUAUCAUCCGGCCCUGUCGAGGCCGGGACCCGGGUUCGACUCCCGGUCAGGGCG